AUAUAAAGUGGUAUGCAUAUAUAAAACGAUUACACCACCUACAACUAGCCAACUUAUUCGAAAUACAUACACUUGUUUCAAGUUUGAUCACUCUAUUUUGCAUCUUACUGGUGUUUUUUGAGUUUGUGAAGAUGUUUCUCAAUGUGAAAGUUCUUGGUGCUAUGGCAGUAGUAUUCUUGGUUGGAGAUGCAAUUGGUUCUGAAUCUGGUAAUCCAGUUUUUGAUAACCCCUGUAUGAAGGUGUGUCCCACAACAAAAGAAUAUAUUCCUUUUUGUGGCAGUGAUAAUUACACGUAUGGCACAAGCAGUAUCUUAAAUUGCUUCAAAAAGUGUAACGUAUCUGUUACCAAAGCCUAUGACGGACCAUGCGAACAGGAACUUGAAAAUGUCGAAGAAAAUGAAAACGAGGAAGACGAUGAAGAAAACAUUGAAGGCUAUAAUGAAGAUGUCACUACGGCUGGAGCUGAUAAAGCUUCUGAAUCAGAUAGGCGUAGUCCACUUGAAGAGCAUCCUUGUGUAAAGAUGUGCUCAAAAAUGAAGGAUGUACGUCCUUUCUGUGGUAGCGAUAAUUACACCUAUGUCAACAGGAGUUACUUAGGCUGCUUCAAAAAGUGCAAUAUACCUGUUACAAUGGCCUAUGAUGGACCAUGCAAACGCAUACCCAUACAAUGAUUGACGUGUAAAAUGCAUUUCUACAGGAGCCACAAUGGACACUUCUAUCAUAAGAAAAAGUCAAUAGUCUACUACUGUUUGACAAUACAUGCACUACCUGCACUUUUUUCAACAAUCUUGUAAAAGAAGCAUACAUUGCAGUCACUUAGGAUUGCUUAAAUGGACUGUUAUUUAGUUUAAUGAGUUGUAAUAUUCCACUUUUUAUAGAUAUUAUAGUUUAUACACAUUUGGUUUAUCAUUUAAGAUUGUAUUGCGAGUAUUUGAAAAAAUGUAAUAAAUAAACAUUUUCAGCAUUCGAAAUGUUCAUCACCUAAC
RNA transcript from Planococcus citri (citrus mealybug), 986 nucleotides. It is a transcript of the gene named serine protease inhibitor dipetalogastin-like, with no coding region annotated. The transcript has 5 exons. NCBI's taxonomy places the organism in Eukaryota, Metazoa, Arthropoda, Insecta, Hemiptera, Pseudococcidae. The record is from RefSeq and is a predicted model, not a curated record.